UGCCAGCCGCCGCGGUAAUACGUAGGGAGCAAGCGUUGUCCGGAUUUAUUGGGCGUAAAGCGCGUGUAGGCGGUCCAGUAAGUCGGAUGUGAAAUCCAAGGGCUCAACCCUUGAACUGCAUCCGAUACUGCUGGACUUGAGGUAGGUAGAGGAGAGUGGAAUUUCUGGUGUAGCGGUGGAAUGCGCAGAUAUCAGAAGGAACACCGAUGGCGAAGGCAGCUCUCUGGGCCUUACCUGACGCUGAGACGCGAAAGCAUGGGUAGCAAACAGGAUUAGAUA
RNAcentral lists this ribosomal RNA (279 nucleotides) under uncultured bacterium. Its description in RNAcentral is "partial 16S ribosomal RNA". It matches the Rfam family "Bacterial small subunit ribosomal RNA", at positions 506 to 784 of the family's 1533-position model. The record is from RNAcentral.